This 116-nucleotide ribosomal RNA is filed under the name Eutrema salsugineum. The record is from RNAcentral. Lineage: Eukaryota; Viridiplantae; Streptophyta; Magnoliopsida; Brassicales; Brassicaceae.
AAGUGCUGUCUUUGUUUUCAGGUACCGAAUCCCAUCAGAACACCGCAAUUAAGCGUGCUUGGGCGAGAGUAGUACUAGGAUGGGUGACCUCCCGGGAAGUCCUCGUGUUGCACCCC